Molecule: ribosomal RNA, 274 nt
Filed under: uncultured bacterium
Lineage: Bacteria
Description: partial 16S ribosomal RNA
Rfam family: Bacterial small subunit ribosomal RNA
Source: RNAcentral
AUACGGAGGCUGCGAGCGUUACUCGGAGUCACUGGGCGUAAAGCGUCCGUAGGCGGUCGGGUAAGUCGGGUGUGAAAGCCCCGGGCUCAACCUGGGAAGUGCACCCGAUACUGCUCGACUCGAGUGCGGGAGAGGAUGGCGGAAUUCCCGGUGUAGCGGUGAAAUGCGUAGAGAUCGGGAGGAACACCAGUGGCGAAGGCGGCCAUCUGGCCCGCAACUGACGCUGAGGGACGAAAGCGUGGGGAGCAAACAGGAUUAGAUACCCUAGUAGUCC